AUUGAACGCUGGCGGCAUGCCUUACACAUGCAAGUCGAACGGUAACGGGCCUUCGGGUGCCGACGAGUGGCGAACGGGUGAGUAAUGCAUCGGAACGUGCCCAGUGGUGGGGGAUAGCCCGGCGAAAGCCGGAUUAAUACCGCAUACGACCUACGGGUGAAAGCGGGGGACUCGCAAGGGCCUCGCGCCAUUGGAGCGGCCGAUGUCAGAUUAGGUAGUUGGUGGGGUAAAGGCCUACCAAGCCGACGAUCUGUAGCUGGUCUGAGAGGACGACCAGCCACACGGGGACUGAGACACGGCCCAGACUCCUACGGGAGGCAGCAGUGGGGAAUUUUGGACAAUGGGCGCAAGCCUGAUCCAGCCAUGCCGCGUGCGGGAAGAAGGCCUUCGGGUUGUAAACCGCUUUUGUCAGGGAAGAAAUCCUGCGGGCCAAUAUCCUGCGGGGAUGACGGUACCUGAAGAAUAAGCACCGGCUAACUACGUGCCAGCAGCCGCAGUAA
Molecule: ribosomal RNA, 500 nt
Filed under: uncultured bacterium
Lineage: Bacteria
Description: partial 16S ribosomal RNA
Rfam family: Bacterial small subunit ribosomal RNA
Source: RNAcentral